RNAcentral lists this ribosomal RNA (253 nucleotides) under uncultured bacterium. Its description in RNAcentral is "partial 16S ribosomal RNA". It matches the Rfam family "Bacterial small subunit ribosomal RNA", at positions 524 to 776 of the family's 1533-position model. The record is from RNAcentral.
UACGUAGGGGGCGAGCGUUGUCCGGAUUUAUUGGGCGUAAAGAGCGUGUAGGCGGCCAGGUAGGUCUGCUGUGAAAACUCGAGGCUCAACCUCGAGACGUCGGCGGAAACCAUCUGGCUAGAGUCCGGAAGAGGAGAGUGGAAUUCCAGGUGUAGCGGUGAAAUGCGCAGAUAUCAGGAAGAACACCAAUGGCGAAAGCAGCUCUCUGGGACGGUACUGACGCUGAGACGCGAAAGCGUGGGGAGCGAACAGG